AGGAUCUCUACAUCCACGUUGGCUGGCCUCUGUACCGCAAGUACGGACACGCCUUCGAGGCGUUUAAGCUCGUGGUUGCUGAUCCGGAUGCGAUUCUUGACCCGCUCACUCGUGAAGUCAAGGAGGUCGGCGCAGAUGGCCAGGAGGUGACGAGGACUGUGCCUGCACUGACCGAAGAGGUGAAGGAUGCGCUGGUGAGGAACAUUCGCAGGAGGAUGACCCCGCAGCCGCUUAAGAUCCGGGCUGAUAUUGAGUUGAAAUGCUUCCAGUUUGACGGGGUUCUUCACAUUAAGGAAGCUAUGAGGAAGGCGGAGGCUGUUGGGAAUGAUGACUGUCCGGUGAAGAUCAAGCUAGUUGCUCCACCGCUCUAUGUGCUUACUACUCAGACUCUUGACAAGGAGCA
Molecule: unclassified non-coding RNA, 403 nt
Filed under: Hevea brasiliensis (rubber tree)
Lineage: Eukaryota; Viridiplantae; Streptophyta; Magnoliopsida; Malpighiales; Euphorbiaceae
Source: RNAcentral